CCCGUUGAACUCGAUUAUCCGUGGCGGAGAUAUUCACUAGUAGGUGGCGGGCUGUGUAUGCAGACCGGCACCCUGCUCGGCACUUAUCUCUUGCCUCACGCGGACAUUGCGAUCCAUUACGAACGCCUCUCAUUCGAGCAGCAAAGGCCCGUCGAUGCUCCCUUGGUGGUUAUUGCUUGCACCCAUCGUAGCGACGCUCAGUUCGGAAGGCCUGUGUCGCCAGCUGGGGCUUAUACCACGCGGUGUAGCGUACGGGCGCGUGAUGGAUUACCAAGACACCAGACGUUGGCUACCCCUCACCGGGUACGCCACCCCUCCCUGGGGGUGCACUCGUGCUGGACUGUCGAUCGGCAAUGAUCACAUCGAGGUACAUUCGGG
Molecule: ribosomal RNA, 378 nt
Filed under: Aedeomyia squamipennis
Lineage: Eukaryota; Metazoa; Arthropoda; Insecta; Diptera; Culicidae
Description: partial 28S ribosomal RNA
Source: RNAcentral